This 1034-nucleotide long non-coding RNA is filed under the name Eutrema salsugineum. RNAcentral describes it as "long non-coding RNA (ESAL_LNC001431)". Lineage: Eukaryota; Viridiplantae; Streptophyta; Magnoliopsida; Brassicales; Brassicaceae. The record is from RNAcentral.
UUACACAAAACUUCAGGAACUUUCAACCUAGUGGUAGUGGUGAGAUAUUAUUAUCACCAAAAGAAUGAUCCCUUUACAAAUUCGGAUUCGGACAAACUUUACAUAAAAGAAGGAAAUGGCAUUUUAUCGCCAGAAAUCCAAAUAGAGCAUUCCCAUUGAAGGAAAUAGUAUCUAUAUAAACACAAGCCUGGUCCUAAACGGCCACAGUAGCAUGUAAUAUUAUAUAGUAACGUAGAGAUCUUUGCUGUACCUGUUUUUUGUUGUUUAUUGGGAAUCUUUGAAUAAAGAACUUACGAAAAUGGAGAAUCUCCAUGAUCAGGGGUUUUCCAUUGGUUAACAAGAGAAUAUACAGACCCGGACAAAUGUUAAUCUUUGCUUUUGAACAAUUGAUGCUAAUCUUCGUCUUAUAUCUAUCUGAGACAGGGUAAGUGGAAGCAUGCAUUAUUAACAGCAGAGAAUUGUGUUCUUGUGUUGCUUUUUUUUUUUUUUAUCAGUAAACUGUUAUUAUUCGUGUUGAUUUUCUGUUACCAAAAAUUAGUAGCAAUCUAGUACUGUUCAUCAAAGUUUAUAGAAUAAUUUGUUGCUGUUGCUGAACUCAUCAUACCUUUGUUCUAUGUUUGAUCUUGUAUUUGCAGCGUAGUGCCGUAGACUCAAUUUCUACUAAGCCCAAAGACCACAAAGAAAAUGGUUCUCUUCUUUUGCUCUGUUUACCAUAAGUUUUACAACACUAAACUCAUUACUAUAAUUGAAUCCUUUUUUAUGUAAUCUAUAAUCUAUCUGUAAUCUAUCUGUAAUCUAUCUAAUCUUCAAAGCCUAUAGAAAUCCAGGUUUCUUUUGUCCACUUAAGACGUCUAUGUGUGACCAAACACAUGUGUGAUCCACCCUGCCCUCUAAUUACAAGUAUCAACUACUAGACCAUAAAUACUUUACUUAUUACCAUAGGUUACAAGUUUCAACUAUUAGACCACAAAUACUUGGCUAUUACAAGGCUUGUAAAUUAGAGGGCGGGACGUAAACUCUCAACGUUAAAUUGC